RNAcentral lists this transfer RNA (74 nucleotides) under Bos taurus (domestic cattle). It matches the Rfam family "tRNA". From Rfam's summary of the family: Transfer RNA (tRNA) molecules are approximately 80 nucleotides in length. Lineage: Eukaryota; Metazoa; Chordata; Mammalia; Artiodactyla; Bovidae. The record is from Rfam by way of RNAcentral. RNAcentral also lists the same sequence under 2 other names.
UCCCUGGUGGUCCAGUGGCUAAGAUUCUGAGUUCCCAAUGCAGGGGGCCUGGGUUCGAUUUCCUGGUCAGGGAA